GCAGUCGAGCGGCAGCGGGUCCUUCGGGAUGCCGGCGAGCGGCGGACGGGUGAGUAAUGCAUGGGAAUCUGCCCGGUAGUGGGGGAUAACUCGGGGAAACCCGAGCUAAUACCGCAUACGUCCUACGGGAGAAAGCAGGGGAUCUUCGGACCUUGCGCUAUCGGAUGAGCCCAUGUCGGAUUAGCUUGUUGGUGAGGUAACGGCUCACCAAGGCAACGAUCCGUAGCUGGUCUGAGAGGAUGAUCAGCCACACCGGGACUGAGACACGGCCCGGACUCCUACGGGAGGCAGCAGUGGGGAAUAUUGGACAAUGGGGGAAACCCUGAUCCAGCCAUGCCGCGUGUGUGAAGAAGGCCCUAGGGUUGUAAAGCACUUUCAGUGGGGAAGAAGGCAUGACGAUUAAUACCCGUCAUGAAGGACAUCACCCACAGAAGAAGCACCGGCUAACUCCGUGCCAGCAGCCGCGGUAAUACGGAGGGUGCAAGCGUUAAUCGGAAUUACUGGGCGUAAAGGGCGCGUAGGCGGCUUGCCAAGCCGGAUGUGAAAGCCCCGGGCUCAACCCGGGAACGGCAUUCGGAACUGGCAGGCUAGAGUGCAGGAGAGGAAAGGUGGAAUUCCCGGUGUAGCGGUGAAAUGCGUAGAGAUCGGGAGGAAUACCAGUGGCGAAGCGGCCUUCUGGACUGACACUGACGCU
This 694-nucleotide ribosomal RNA is filed under the name Halomonas sp. D03. RNAcentral describes it as "bacterial SSU rRNA". It matches the Rfam family "Bacterial small subunit ribosomal RNA", at positions 57 to 747 of the family's 1533-position model. The record is from RNAcentral. Lineage: Bacteria; Pseudomonadati; Pseudomonadota; Gammaproteobacteria; Oceanospirillales; Halomonadaceae.